RNAcentral lists this long non-coding RNA (3678 nucleotides) under Triticum aestivum (bread wheat). RNAcentral's name for it is "long non-coding RNA (TAES_LNC026454)". The stretch from base 2284 to 2371 matches the Rfam family "MIR1120/MIR1122 microRNA precursor family". Lineage: Eukaryota; Viridiplantae; Streptophyta; Magnoliopsida; Poales; Poaceae. The record is from RNAcentral.
GCCCAAAUACUUCGCUCCAGAGACUUAGCGGCCGCCCCAGAUCUAGCCCAAAUCACCAUCUGCUCCAACCCUAGCCGCCGCCAACACGAGACGACGCCGAGCACCCACCACUGCCCGACCCCAGCCGCCCCUGACCACCCAUCGCAGCAGCUGUCCUCUCGGACCACCGCCGCCGCCGAGCACCCUCCUCCGUCGCCGUCAAGUACCCUCCUACGCAGAUCUCGUCCGCCCUCCGCCCAUCCCCAGCGCCGCCCAGAUGUCGCCUCUCCUUCCAUGCUUUCUCCCCGGGCAGCACCGUCUCUCCUAGGGUAUGCGCCACCGACCAUCAUGCUCUCCAGCCUAUCGUCCUUCGUCCGUGCUCCUCCGACCUCCCCCUUUUGUACUUCGAGCGCGAGGUAUGGUCCUGGUGCUUCCCGUUCUCUUGUAUUCUUUACUGUUCUUUCAAUUUUUCCAAUGAUUUGUAACACACAUGAGCACAUCUGCCAAAUCUUCUCCCUCUGCUUUGAGGAAAAUAGCAGAGCACUCUGAUGGAAGAAGUCAGCCUCAGCCAGUGCAAACUAUAGCUCUAGAAAUAGUUGCCGCUUUGUUUUACUGGUAAAUACUUGUUACAAAGUGCUAUUUUCAGCUGUAAACAUUCAGCCUACACUAUGUACUGCAUGUUUUACUAAUAAUUGCUGCCUGGUAUCUUGUCUGACCUGAAACAUAUGGUCACUUUAGUAAUAGCAACAUCAAAGUAGAAAUUGGGUUGGGCAAGGAAUUCAUGAUUCUGGCCCAACUUUUGUUAGAUGUGUAAAUUGAAAAAUGUUUGUCAACUAUGAUUAUUUUGUUUCAAAUAAUAACACGUAAAAACCUUGUUUUGUUUGCAUGUUAUGGUUUAGGAGGUUGAACAGAAUAUUAAGACGCAUAAUAAGUACCUGUCUUAUUUGCUCAUGAAAAUGUUUGAUCUUAACAUAGGAACAUGAUCUGACCCCAUGCGUAUGUUAGCAGUCUGGUUUUCAUGCCUUUUGUGAAUGCAAAGUGGCACUUGAUGCAUAGCUAGUGUCAAAAGACCUUCAUAAUUUGGACUGCUAAUUCUCGUGGAUUAUCUAUCUGUUUGUUUGAAACUGCUGUCCAUUGCCAACAUAUUUCUUCCAGCAAUUUUGCAGUUGGAUUCUGGUUGGAUUCCUUUAUUUCCAAGUUUAAUUGUGUCAUUCUUGUAAUUUCUUUACCGUGCUAUGCAGAAUGAACCAUCUUUUGGUGGUGCUUGAGUCAUGGGCAUAGAUGCAUCUAACCAAAUAAUGCUUGCUUCUGGGAAGGCACCUAGUGUAGGUGGAGAACAUGUUCUAAGAAAGGUAUAGUACAUUUAAAUCUCGUUCUUUGCCAAAUCUUCUGAUACUGAAGUUGUCAAGGAUAUAUGCAUCUGGUCCAUACAUAACACUGUCACUGAUAACAGCGGCUCCAAAAAGAUUUUUCUGCUUCUGCUAUGGGACCUUGCAUGUGGGAUGAUGAGGGCAAUCAAAGCAGGUAUGUGACACAGGGAUAGUUGAAAAGCGGCAACACCUGAUUUGAUUCUGAUAGUGUUUUCUGUUGAUCAACCCAGUCUAGUGGGAGUCGUUUGCUAGGCUUUCUCCGAUCAAAAAGGCUGAGGAGGAGAAGUAGCUAAAUAGCAUUGGACUUUAUCUUGUGAAAAGGCUGAGGAGGAGAAGUAGCUAAAUAGCAUUAGACUUUAUCUUGUGAAAAGGCUGAGGAGGAGAAGCAGCUAAGCAAUAGUUCGCUUUCCCUAGUUGAAAAGGUUGAGCUGAACUAGACUUUUCAAGCUUUAGUGCAUUGAGCUGGCAGCAGCAAGCUUCUAGGUAGCUACCUCACAUUCACGUACAACUGCAAUAGGCAGUUUGUAAUCCCCUAUAAAAGGAGCCGUGCUCCUUCAUUGUAAAUCAGGGCCAUUUCAUUUCUAUCCAGCCAAGCCUCAAGUGUAGUACUACUACAUAUACGUGUAUGUGUUUUGCUAGAAUGCUUAAGCAUAAAUAGUUAGUAGCACACAACUGCUACUGUGUGAGUUCCUCUGUUCUUGUGUGUUGCCGCAGCAAGUGUGCAGCUGGCUGCUAUUUAGUCCUCUGCUAGAUUGUACAAGACAGAGAGCUAGUUACUCGCCAGUAGUUUUGGGCUAACAUUUUCUUCAGGUGGCAUCCUUCAAGGACCAUCCUUAUUAGUUACUUACAGCAAUUUUGUUGAUUAUGGAUUAUGGAUCAUCAUCAGACGGCCAUGCACAUGCAUAGAACUCACUUUUUUCUAGCUAGCUAGUUGCUACUCCCUCUGUCCCAUAAUGUAAGAUGUUUUUUGACACUACACUAGUGUUAAAAAGCUGUCUUACAUUAUGGGACGGAGGGAGUAGUUGUUACUGUUUGCAGGCGUAAGAACUGAGAACGGCACUGAAUAGCCAUGCUCAAGGCUUUUUAGGUUACCAAAGAGGACGCCCCUCUACGGGGAAUCUCCAGCGGCGACAGUUAUACACUGACUGGAUUGUUGUUAUACACUGCCUGAAUAGCCUUGUUUUUAUGUUGCUACACACUGCCUGAACUGUUAAAGGCCUUGAUUGACUUUCAUUGAUUGCUAUAAUAAUGACAAACUGUCCAGAAGCAGGACUAGUCUGUUUCUUUGAUUAUAAUAAUCAACAAUUGGUAAGUUUGUCUAGCUUAAUUGUUUCUGAAAUUUACACAACACGUCAGGUAGAUAUAUGGUGGAAAGGUGAAGGGCACAUGUACACAUAUUUUGUUGUAUCAGUGGCUGGCUGUGCAAGCUCACGUGAUUUAGUUUAAAAUACUGUCGUAAAUAUUGCAUCUGCGAUACGUCUCAUGAUUUUGCAAAUACUGUAUAAUAUUAUGGUUUUCACAAACUCUGGUAUUUUGCAGCUAGAGGUUUAGAAACUGUAGUUUUCGAAUACUACAAUUUUACAUAUACUAUUCACCCAAACAGAGCCUGAGCAGUUUGGAGCCCUUGAUGUCCUUUUUAAAAACUGAGCAGGACUAUUGAUGUUUGGAUAGAAGUCCUUGCUGAAAAAUGCUUGGCCUGGAGCCUCCUUGCAAAGUGCCUGGACUAUGUUUAGUUGAUGUCCUGAAGAAAUGUCUAUUGACUUCUGCUAUUUGCAUUAGAACACUUGUCCUUAUGUGAUAUAAAGAUUGCAUUUUUAUUGUGCUGUCUUGUGCUUCCAUUACUAGUUGCAUGUUUAUGAUACAACAGGUUUAUCGUUCUAUGAGAGCUCCAUUUUGAGUUUCCGGUCUGUUGCAGGUUUUCCUAAGAUACACAAGUUGAUGGAGGAUUGCAAGAUCUACAUACAAGCGGUUGACGGUUUGGAAGUUCUACAGCGGCUGAAGGUUUGGAGGACAUACAAUUAAGUUGGUGUAGUGAUAAUGUAGUGCACCUAGUUUGUUGAACCUGGAGACAUUGGCAAGUUCUGCUUAUUUUGGUGGUUGUUUUGGUACACAAGCCACUGGAUGCUCAUUUUGGUUGUGUGGCACAUCUAGAAACAUACGUACUAUUUUGUGCCAGCACAAGUCCUUAUGUAUGGUUGUUUCCUAUAUGUAUGUAUCCAGAAACAUAUGUAUCUGGCAUGUUAUGUUUAUAUUGAAGGAAAUUUAAGGUUUUUGAUGAGGCCUAUGUGUAACUUCGAUUGAAGUGUAUGUCUAAGAUGUGAGAUCUACC